Molecule: unclassified non-coding RNA, 924 nt
Filed under: Hevea brasiliensis (rubber tree)
Lineage: Eukaryota; Viridiplantae; Streptophyta; Magnoliopsida; Malpighiales; Euphorbiaceae
Source: RNAcentral
UCUCUCCUUUUCAUGCUGAGCUGUUGCAAAAAAGCUCAUAACCUCAAAGAAAUAGCGUCUAGGAGAAGCUGACGCAAUAUCCAUAGUUAAUUCCACAAAAGUUUUUAGCUUGAUAGGGACAUUAGGGGCAUUGCUUUCAGCACUCUCCAUCACUCUAGGGUGCACCUGAAAUGGGGCACAAUAAGGAAAAGGUAAAAAUGCAAUUCACCCACAUCAGGCAAGUAUUUGAAAAGUUGCAUCAAAAUAUGUGAAAACUAAUGGAAUAAUCAUUACAUGAGCAGGGGGGGAAAUGUUUCCCCUCACAACCUAUCCAGGUCAGCCCAAUAUAGGAUCUGAAGGUCAGAUAUAUCAGUAUACAGUUACAUCCAAAAUAACUGAGAAUUAGAGAAGGAAAAAACAUAAGUAUUUGCAUGAAAUUGAAGCAGAUAUUAAAUGAAUCUAGCCACUUUUCAUAACAUAGCAGCCACCUAAGUUUCAAAUCGAAUGCAGUUUGAGUUUUGCAAGCCACAGAAGUUGAUCAGGGUGGUUCUCAAGCUCAUAAUAUUUAGUGAACAAGGUCAGAUUUAUCUCCAUCCAAGUAGAUGCUUGAAGAAGGGUAAGAUGAGCCAAGUUCGGGUUGUUCACUAGUGGCUUGCUCUAGCCCUGGCCACGGCAUGAGUUGGGCCUGAAACCAGACUGGAACUGGUCAACUGUUCACAGGCCCAGACUGGACUGAAAGUGCUUUGAAGGAGGGGGGCGAGUGGUCCCUUCCCCUUUUGAAACUUGAAAUUGACCAGAAUUGGCAGUCCAGUCCAAGCCACUGAUUUCUUUAAAAGAAAAGAAAAAAUUUGAAAAAUUAUUUCAACUAUUGAAUUGUCUCAACUCUGAUUGAACUAGAACCAAACCAAAAUUAGAACCACCCUUUUUUAAAUACACUAGUUAGAG